RNAcentral lists this ribosomal RNA (2363 nucleotides) under Cyclophora tenuis. RNAcentral's name for it is "partial Bacterial large subunit ribosomal RNA". It matches the Rfam family "Bacterial large subunit ribosomal RNA", at positions 1 to 2593 of the family's 2925-position model. Lineage: Eukaryota; Bacillariophyta; Fragilariophyceae; Cyclophorales; Cyclophoraceae. The record is from RNAcentral.
UUAAAGCACUAAAAGGAUGCCUAAACAUUAAAAAAUAACGGACGUAAACAUAACGAAAUGUUACAGUGAGUAAAUUUUUUGCUGGGACCUGUAACUUUCCGAAUUGGAAAACCAAACUAAAAUAAUUAGUUUUGAAAAUUUAGUAAACUGAAUCAUCUAAGUAACUAAAUAAAAAAAUCAACCGAGAAACCGUCAAUAGCGGCGAGCGAAAGCGGUAUAGACUAAAAUUUUUUGUUAAGUUUAUUAAUAAUUUAUAUAGCCAUAGAAGGUAAUAAAGCCCUGUAGAUUAACUAACAGAUUUUUUAAAAGCAGUAGAUCGGCAAAAGUUAUGCUGUUUAAAUACCGGGGUCCCACCCUCGAAGUCUAUAAUUUUUAAUGUUUGAUAGCGCAAAAGUACCGUGAGGGAACGGUGAAAUAAAAUUUGCGAAUUAUGAAAAUCUGAAAUUUAGUGCUAACAAACAGUUGAAGCUUUUAAAAGUGACAGCGUACCUUUUGUAUAAUGGACCAACUAGUUUAUUUUAGUGGCGAGCUUAAACAUAAAUGUGUAGGCUAAAAGAAAUUAAGUUUUAAAUUGCUUUUGAGUCUCUAAAAUAAAACCCGAAACUAGGUGAUCUAACCAUGAACAGGUUGAAAUUUAUACGGUAACGAUAAAUGAAGGACCGAACCCGUGUAUGUGGAAAAAUACUGGGAUGAUUUGUGGUUAGGAGUGAAAGGCUAAUCAAACUUAGAGAUAGCUGGUUUUCUGCGAAAUCUAUUUAAGUAGAGCGUUUAAAAACUUAGUUUUGAGGUAGAGCUCUUGAUAAAUAAGGGGGAGUAAAAUCUUACUAAAUUUAAUAAAACUUCGAAUACAAAACAAAAAGAUUUUAAGCAGACAAACUGUGAGUGCUAAGAUUCACAGUUGAGAGGGAAACAGCCCAGACUAAUUGUUAAGGCCCUUAAAAGUAAUUAAGUGUAAAAAAUGUAAAAAGAUAAAAACAACCAAGAGGUAGGCUUGGAAGCAGCCAUCCUUUAAAGAAAGCGUAAUAGCUCACUGGUCUAAUUAAGCCGUCCUGCGCCGAAGAUGUACCGGGGCUCAAGCUACACACCGAAGCUGCGGAUGCACUAUGUGCAUGGUAGCGGAGCGUUCCGUAGGCCUGUGAAGGGAUACCCGUGAGGGGUCCUGGAGGUAUCGGAAGUGAGAAUGCUGACAUGAGUAGCGACAAAGAGUGUGAGAGACACUCUCGCCGAAAGUCCAAGGGUUCCUGCGCAAUGCUAAUCAGCGCAGGGUUAGCCGGCCCCUAAGGCGAGGCCGAAAGGCGUAGUCGAUGGGAACCAGGUGAAUAUUCCUGGGCCAGCGGGUAGUGACGGAUUGCGGAAGUUGUUCACCCUUAUUGGAUUGGGUGGGCAGCCAAGCCGUCCCUGGAAAUAGCUCCCGCAUUAGACCGUACCCUAAACCGACACAGGUGGACAGGUAGAGUAUACCAAGGCGCUUGAGAGAACUAUGCUGAAGGAACUCGGCAAAUUACUCCCGUAAGUUCGCGAGAAGGGAGCCUGGCUUUGCGCAAGCAAUGUCCAGGGGCACAGACCAGGGGGUGGCGACUGUUUACUAAAAACACAGGGCUCUGCGAAGUCGCAAGACGACGUAUAGGGUCUGACGCCUGCCCGGUGCCGGAAGGUUAAAAGGAGGAGUGCAAGCUCCGAAUUGAAGCCCCGGUAAACGGCGGCCGUAACAAUAACGGUCCUAAGGUAGCGAAAUUCCUUGUCGGGUAAGUUCCGACCUGCACGAAUGGCGUAACGACUUCCCCGCUGUCUCCAGCAUAGGCUCAGCGAAAUUGAAUUCUCCGUGAAGAUGCGGAGUAUCUGCGGCUAGACGGAAAGACCCCGUGAACCUUUACUAUAGCUUGACAGUGAACUUGAAGCCUGGAUGUGUAGGAUAGGUGGGAGACUUUGAAGCGUGAACGCCAGUUUGCGUGGAGUCAUCCUUGAAAUACCACCCUUGCAUGUUUUGAGUUCUAACGCAGGUCCAUGAUCUGGAUCGCGGACACUGUCUGGUGGGUAGUUUGACUGGGGCGGUCGCCUCCUAAAUGGUAACGGAGGCGCACAAAGGUUUCCUCUGAACGGGUAGAAAUCGUAUCUAGAGUGUAAAGGCAAAAGGGAGCUUGACUGUGAGACCUACAAGUCGAGCAGGGACGAAAGUCGGUCUUAGUGAUCUGGCGGUGCUGAGUGGAAAGGCCGUCACUCAACGGAUAAAAGUUACUCUAGGGAUAACAGGCUGAUCUCCCCCAAGAGUUCACAUCGACGGGGAGGUUUGGCACCUCGAUGUCGGCUCAUCGCAUCCUGGGGCGGUAGUACGUCCCAAGGGUUGGGCUGUUCGCCCAUUAAAG